This 2576-nucleotide unclassified non-coding RNA is filed under the name Leishmania donovani. RNAcentral's name for it is "gene:LdHU3.21.0420(CDS-product:mitochondrial_proc essing_peptidase_alpha_subunit_putative)". The record is from RNAcentral. Lineage: Eukaryota; Euglenozoa; Kinetoplastea; Trypanosomatida; Trypanosomatidae.
CCUUCCCUCGCCCUCUCCUUUGUUCGGUAUUUUGCGUAGGCGCACCAUUGUUGCUCCUCCUCGCAGGUGUGUGUGUGUGUGUGUACACGUGCGCACACUCGUCCACCGUGAUACACGGCUCAUUCACGAAAGAGCGUACGCUGGCGCAUCCAUCAUGCUGCGCGCGACGUCUUGCUUGGGUAUCUACGAGUACCAGUUCGGGCAGCCCUCGCUGCGGAGCGCCUUCAGCGCAAGGAUCGCGCCGGCUGCCAAGGCGCGCAGCCCCGGCGCGGUGCAGUCCACAAAGCUAACGAAUGGCGUGCGUGUAGUGUCGCACGAUCUCGACGGCCCGGUCGCGUCCAUCGGCGUUUAUGCGGAUGCGGGACCGAAGUACGACCCCAUCGCCACCCCCGGCCUGAGCUACGUCAUGCGCUUCGCCCUGCAGACCUCCAACAUGGACAGCUCCCUCUUCCAGAUCGACCGCACGAUGCGCUCCACCGGCAACGCGUACGGCCACGGUGAGGUGUGCAAGCGCUAUCUGAGCUGGAAGGCGGAGGGCCGCCGUGACAUGUGGGAGAAGCCAUUUGAGAUGCUCGCCACCGGCGUCGUCGCACCGCGCUUCCACGAGAGCGAUAUUGAGCGCUUCCGCGACACGAUGGACAACCAGCUGGAGGAGAUGCGCUGGCAGAACCCUCGCGAAUACGCUAUCGACCAGCUGGAGACGGUGGCCUUCUACAAGGAGCCGCUCGGGGCGCCGCGCAUGGUGCCUCGCAUCGCAAACGACCGCUGCAGCCACAAGGCGCUGCUAGACCAUUGGGCCGCGAACUUCCAGCCCAGCCGUAUCGUCCUGGCUGGUGUGAACGUGCCGCACGACGCCCUGAUAGCCGCCUAUGAGAAACUGCCGUACAAGCACUCGGCCGAGGCCCCGCACCACGCGCGCGCCGCCGCGCCGAAGCUGUCCCACAGCAACGAGGCGGCCCAGUUCUACGCGGGCCGGCAGAACGUCGAGUACGAGAGCCGCGCCGCUGUCAUGGGCACAAUGCCUGACAUGCAGGCGGAGGUGAUCGGUGCCGUCGGCGUGCCUACCCACGGCCGUGACGAGGGCGCCAAGCAAUAUGCGACGGCGCUGGUGACGCGCGAGAUCUACGAGGAGGCGAUGCGCAGCGCGCACGGCAGCCGCGCCGGCUCGGAGCACUACGGCGCACAGGUCUUCUACCGCCCGUACUCGUCUGCCGGCCUGAUCGGUUACACUGUGCGCGGUGCGCCGGCCGAGGUGAAGACGAUGCUUCAGGUAGCCUCCAGCGCCUUUCCGGCAGCCGUUGACGAGGCGGCCGUGAAGCGUGCGGCCCACUGCGCGUACGUGCGCCUGCUGCACGACCAGGUGGAGAUGACACGCGACUACUGCGACUUCCUCGCCACAUCGCCCAACUCAGUCGAGGAACUCGUGCAGGCAGUCAGCGGCGUCACGAAGGCCAACGUGGAAGAAGCGAUGAAGAAAAUGGUCGCGCAGAAGCCGGCCACGUACGCGACGGGCGACAGCUUCACGUUUCCCAUGGUCGCGUCGCUGAGUCACGCUUAAGAACAGGCAAGGUGGGGCGGGUGUGCACGUGCGAGCGAACGCAUGCGCAGCCGCCUCUCUCUCUCACUCUGUGUGUGUGUGUGUGGGUGGGUGGUAGACAUAGUUUUACUUCCUUUAUAGUAGUUAGGUGGGCAGGAUUGUGGAGUGAAGAGGGGAGCGCUGGAAUGGGCUGGGCUGGGGCAGCAGCGGCGACAUGGUGGGAGACGGGGACGAGCGAGUAAUAGGGAGGGCACGGUUCUGCCUCUUGGCGUGUGUGUGUGUGUGGGGGGGGGGGGGGGGGGGGGGCAAAUGGCAGAAUGUGGGCAACGGGAGGAGGAAGAAGAGAAGGGCAGCUGCGGUGGAGGAGUGCGUCUCUGGCCCUGUGUCUCACUACUUCCUCCCUCCCCUCCUCAGCUAUCCCUCUGGUCAUCUCUCGUUCGCUAUCUCUCACACGUGCCCCUCCCCCCUUCCCCUCCUUCCCUCCGGUGUGCACUGAUCAGCAUCUUAACCGAAACAGGAUCGAAUACGAAUCAAGGUGGGGGGCGCAGCGCCCCACUGCCCCUCCUGCUUCCGAGGCAGAAUGGAGAAGGCGAAGCAUGGCCGGCGUGUCGGGUCAAAUGAUGCGCGAAGGCGAGGCGACGGCAUGUCGUCCUCCACUCAUCACCUCUCCACUCUUCCGUAUGGUGUUCGGCAUGGGGAGGAGCGUGUGCAUCGUCCGAGUACGUAGCGAUGAGGGCCGUGCUCGGUAGUUGUGCUGAUGGACUGUGUUGAUUGCUUCACCGUACCCCCCCCCCACUCCCUUUUACUAUCCUCUUGUCUGCACACUCGCGUACAAGAGGCACGCUACGUUGCUCUGUGCACAAGUCGUGUGUGUGUGCUGUCGUCGCUUCGCUUUAUGGCGCUGCUCACAAGGUCAUGUGUGGACUUCUUGUUGCCUUCUCUCACCCCGACUCCUCCCACUCUCUCUCUCGGCUCCUCUUUUUCCGCGGCAACGGGGCACGCCGUCUUGUCUCUCUGCCUCAUUGCGCCGUCCUCGCAG